UACGUAGGGGCCUAGCGUUGUCCGGAAUUAUUGGGCGUAAAGCGCGCGCAGGCGGUCCUUUAAGUCUGAUGUGAAAGCCCACGGCUCAACCGUGGAGGGUCAUUGGAAACUGGGGGACUUGAGUACAGAAGAGGAAAGCGGAAUUCCACGUGUAGCGGUGAAAUGCGUAGAGAUGUGGAGGAACACCAGUGGCGAAGGCGGCUUUCUGGUCUGUAACUGACGCUGAGGCGCGAAAGCGUGGGGAGCAAACAGG
Molecule: ribosomal RNA, 253 nt
Filed under: uncultured bacterium
Lineage: Bacteria
Description: partial 16S ribosomal RNA
Rfam family: Bacterial small subunit ribosomal RNA
Source: RNAcentral